CUCGCGGUUCGUGCGGCCGCGCCAUCGUGGGAGCCCGUGCGCGGCGCUGGAGUGGGUUGAUUGCAGUGCUGUAGCAAAAGUGUUACCUCCCUUCUCUGCUCUGGUUUCUGCUGAACUGUGGAAGGACACRGUAACAGAAAUGAACUUACGAGCUUACGUGGAGUACAUUGAAGAACUGGGAGGAGAAUGUAAAUCAGAGGUUGUAUUGGAAGUUCUCGGAGUUUGAUUCAAAUCUUGAAAUAGUCGCAAUGUAAAGGCAUUGGAGCAAAAAAACUUGUGACUCACGUAAGUUGAAAGYACAGAUUUGCUUUAUGAAAGUACUACUCUUCCAAGUAGUUUCAAACCUGUCUGCAUGAGGUUCUACAGAAAUACAAAACUUCUGUAAUAUCAUACAUGUUUAUGGAGACGGUCAUCUCUGCUUAUCUAUGGGAAAGGUAAUAAUUCUCUCCUAAUUUUUUUUUCCGGUUGGAUUCUUUAGGAACACUUUUUGURAAGUCAUUCUUACCUUCAUUCUAAGCGUACAAAUCAGAAGUGGCAAU
Molecule: long non-coding RNA, 539 nt
Filed under: Dromaius novaehollandiae (emu)
Lineage: Eukaryota; Metazoa; Chordata; Aves; Casuariiformes; Dromaiidae
Description: lncRNA (ENSDNVG00000004729.1)
Source: RNAcentral